RNAcentral lists this ribosomal RNA (336 nucleotides) under Chlamydomonas proboscigera. Its description in RNAcentral is "eukaryotic LSU rRNA". It matches the Rfam family "Eukaryotic large subunit ribosomal RNA", at positions 1 to 349 of the family's 3401-position model. RNAcentral also lists the same sequence under 1 other name. Lineage: Eukaryota; Viridiplantae; Chlorophyta; Chlorophyceae; Chlamydomonadales; Chlamydomonadaceae. The record is from RNAcentral.
UGAGCUCAGGCAAGAACACCCGCUGAACUUAAGCAUAUCAAUAAGCGGAGGAAAAGAAACUAACCAGGAUUCCCCUAGUAACGGCGAGUGAACCGGGAAUAGCCCAACUUGAAAAUCUCUUCGGAGAAUUGUAGUCUAUAGAAGCGCCCUCUGCGGCGGCAGGAGCUCAAGUCUGGUGGAAGCCAGCGUCAGAGAGGGUGAGAACCCCGUCGGCUCUAUGCUUAGCUGCUUCACGAGGUGCUUUCCACGAGUCGGGUUGUUUGGGAAUGCAGCCCUAAAUUGGAGGUAAAUCCCUUCUAAGGCUAAAUACUGGCGAGAGACCGAUAGCGAACAAGU